UUUUUAACCCAGCCACUAGCAUUGACACUUUGUCGUGUUCGUGCCGGUCCCAAGCCCGGAGAAAAUGGGGAGGUUUUU
Molecule: non-coding RNA, 78 nt
Filed under: unclassified sequences
Source: RNAcentral